This 21-nucleotide microRNA is filed under the name Homo sapiens (human). RNAcentral's name for it is "hsa-miR-1207-5p". The record is from miRBase by way of RNAcentral. Lineage: Eukaryota; Metazoa; Chordata; Mammalia; Primates; Hominidae.
UGGCAGGGAGGCUGGGAGGGG